UUGGAGGGCAAGUCUGGUGCCAGCAGCCGCGGUAAUUCCAGCUCCAAUAGCGUAUAUUAAAGUUGUUGCAGUUAAAAAGCUCGUAGUUGAAUUUCGGAAUCAAUUUGUUGGUCGUGCCUCGGUACGUACUGGCAUUAUUGGUUUCUACCUUCUGAAGAACCUUGAUGUCAUUAAUUUGGUGUCUUGGGGAAUCAGGACUGUUACUUUGAAAAAAUUAGAGUGUUUAAAGCAGGCAUACGCUUGAAUACAUUAGCAUGGAAUAAUGAAAUAGGACGUUUGAUUCUAUUUUGUUGGUUUCUAGGAUCGACGUAAUGAUUAAUAGGGAUAGUUGGGGGCAUUAGUAUUCAAUUGUCAGAGGUGAAAUUCUUGGAUUUAUUGAAGACUAACUACUGCGAAAGCAUUUGCCAAGGAUGUUUUCAUUAAUCAAGAACGAAAGUUAGGGGAUCGAAGACGAUCAGAUACCGUCGUAGUCUUAACCAUAAACUAUGCCGACUAGGGAUCGGAUGAUGUUAAUUUUUUAAUGACUCAUUCGGCGCCUUACGGGAAAC
Molecule: ribosomal RNA, 548 nt
Filed under: uncultured Glomus
Lineage: Eukaryota; Fungi; Glomeromycota; Glomeromycetes; Glomerales; Glomeraceae
Description: SSU rRNA
Rfam family: Eukaryotic small subunit ribosomal RNA
Source: RNAcentral